RNAcentral lists this ribosomal RNA (486 nucleotides) under uncultured bacterium. RNAcentral's name for it is "partial 16S ribosomal RNA". It matches the Rfam family "Bacterial small subunit ribosomal RNA", at positions 30 to 507 of the family's 1533-position model. The record is from RNAcentral.
AUUGAACGCUGGCGGCAUGCCUUACACAUGCAAGUCGAACGGCAGCACGGGUGCUUGCACCUGGUGGCGAGUGGCGAACGGGUGAGUAGUACAUCGGAACAUGUCCUGUAGUGGGGGAUAGCCCGGCGAAAGCCGGAUUAAUACCGCAUACGAUCCACGGAUGAAAGCGGGGGACCUUCGGGCCUCGCGCUAUAGGGUUGGCCGAUGGCUGAUUAGCUAGUUGGUGGGGUAAAGGCCUACCAAGGCGACGAUCAGUAGCUGGUCUGAGAGGACGACCAGCCACACUGGGACUGAGACACGGCCCAGACUCCUACGGGAGGCAGCAGUGGGGAAUUUUGGACAAUGGGCGAAAGCCUGAUCCAGCAAUGCCGCGUGUGUGAAGAAGGCCUUCGGGUUGUAAAGCACUUUUGUCCGGAAAGAAAUCCUUGGCUCUAAUACAGUCGGGGGAUGACGGUACCGGAAGAAUAAGCACCGGCUAACUACGUG